UACGGAGGGGGCUAGCGUUGUUCGGAAUUACUGGGCGUAAAGCGCACGUAGGCGGCUUUGCAAGUCAGAGGUGAAAGCCCGGGGCUCAACCCCGGAAUAGCCUUUGAGACUGCAUCGCUAGAAUUGUGGAGAGGUAAGUGGAAUUCCGAGUGUAGAGGUGAAAUUCGUAGAUAUUCGCAAGAACACCAGUGGCGAAGGCGGCUCACUGGCCCGGUACUGACGCUGAGGUGCGAAAGCGUGGGGAGCAAACAGG
Molecule: ribosomal RNA, 253 nt
Filed under: uncultured bacterium
Lineage: Bacteria
Description: partial 16S ribosomal RNA
Rfam family: Bacterial small subunit ribosomal RNA
Source: RNAcentral